UACGUAGGGUGCAAGCGUUGUCCGGAAUUAUUGGGCGUAAAGAGCUCGUAGGCGGUCUGUCGCGUCGGCUGUGAAAACCCGGAGCUCAACUCCGGGCCUGCAGUCGAUACGGGCAGACUGGAGUUCGGCAGGGGAGACUGGAAUUCCUGGUGUAGCGGUGAAAUGCGCAGAUAUCAGGAGGAACACCGGUGGCGAAGGCGGGUCUCUGGGCCGUUACUGACGCUGAGGAGCGAAAGCGUGGGGAGCAAACAGG
Molecule: ribosomal RNA, 253 nt
Filed under: uncultured bacterium
Lineage: Bacteria
Description: partial 16S ribosomal RNA
Rfam family: Bacterial small subunit ribosomal RNA
Source: RNAcentral